AAUAAUAAUAAAUUUUAUUUUGUUCACAUUUUAAGGCUUUGUUUGAACUAACUAAAAAAUUAUAAUUUUUAAUAAGUUAGAUAAAAAUACUAAUUUUAUUGAUUAUUGGGAUAUAAAGUGAUAUUUUGUUUUAGCUUAAACAUGUAGGCCAAAUGAACCUAACUAAACCGAGUUAAAAUAUCAGUGGGCCAUCUGAAAAAUUUAGGAUUAAUUAACAAGUCAAAAAACCAAAAACUAUUUGAGCCAGGGACCAGGCUCAUACCCAUUUUUUCAAAGCCCAAACCACUUUCUUAACCCAUUUACCCUAACUUGAAAAGAUUGAUUAUUGGGAUAUAAAGUGAUAUUUUAUUUUAGCUUAAACAUGUAGGCCAAAUGAACCUAACUAAACCGAGUUAAAAUAUCAGUGGGCCAUCUGAAAA
RNAcentral lists this long non-coding RNA (419 nucleotides) under Actinidia chinensis (golden kiwifruit). Its description in RNAcentral is "long non-coding RNA (ACHI_LNC007443)". The record is from RNAcentral. Lineage: Eukaryota; Viridiplantae; Streptophyta; Magnoliopsida; Ericales; Actinidiaceae.